RNAcentral lists this ribosomal RNA (485 nucleotides) under uncultured bacterium. RNAcentral's name for it is "partial 16S ribosomal RNA". It matches the Rfam family "Bacterial small subunit ribosomal RNA", at positions 28 to 523 of the family's 1533-position model. The record is from RNAcentral.
GACGAACGCUGGCGGCGUGCUUAACACAUGCAAGUCGGACGAUGAACCCGGAGCUUGCUCCGGUGGAUUAGUGGCGAACGGGUGAGUAACACGUGAGUAACCUGCCCUUGACUCUGGGAUAACUGCGGGAAACUGUAGCUAAUACCGGAUACGACCCUCGGCGGCAUCGCCAGGGGGUGGAAAGAAUUUCGGUCAAGUGAUGGACUCGCGGCCUAUCAGCUAGUGGGUGAGGUAACGGCUCACCAAGGCGACGACGGGUAGCCGGCCUGAGAGGGUGACCGGCCAGACUGGGAAGGAGAUACGGCCCAGACUCCUACGGGGGGCAGCAGUGGGGAAUAUUGAACAAUGGGCGCAAGCCUGAUGCAGCGACGCCGCGUGAGGGAUGACGGCCUUCGGGUUGUAAACCUCUUUCAGCAUCGACGAAGCGAAAGUGACGGUAGGUGCAGAAGAAGGACUGGCCGACUACGUGCCAGCAGCCGCCGUAA